RNAcentral lists this ribosomal RNA (743 nucleotides) under uncultured prokaryote. Its description in RNAcentral is "bacterial SSU rRNA". It matches the Rfam family "Bacterial small subunit ribosomal RNA", at positions 28 to 789 of the family's 1533-position model. The record is from RNAcentral.
GAUGAACGCUGACAGAAUGCUUAACACAUGCAAGUCGAUUCGAUUUACCUUCGGGUAUUGAGGAUGGCGGACGGGUGAGUAACGCGUAAGGAACUUGCCUCUUGGUCUGGGACAACUGUUGGAAACGACAGCUAAUACCGGAUAUUAUGAGAUUCUCGCAUGGGAAACUUAUGAAAGCUAUAUGCGCCAAGAGAGAGCCUUGCGUUCCAUUAGCUAGUUGGUGGGGUAACGGCCCACCAAGGCGACGAUGGAUAGCCGGCCUGAGAGGGUGAACGGCCACAAGGGGACUGAGACACGGCCCUUACUCCUACGGGAGGCAGCAGUGGGGAAUAUUGGACAAUGGGCCACAAGCCUGAUCCAGCAAUUCUGUGUGCACGAUGAAGGUCUUCGGAUUGUAAAGUGCUUUCAGUUGGGAAGAAGAAAGUGACGGUACCAACAGAAGAAGCGACGGCUAAAUACGUGCCAGCAGCCGCGGUAAUACGUAUGUCGCAAGCGUUAUCCGGAUUUAUUGGGCGUAAAGCGCGUCUAGGCGGAAAAAUAAGUCUGAUGUUAAAAUGCGGGGCUCAACUCCGUAUUGCGUUGGAAACUGUUUUUCUAGAGUACUGGAGAGGUGGGCGGAACUACAAGUGUAGAGGUGAAAUUCGUAGANAUUUGUAGGAAUGCCGAUGGAGAAGUCAGCUCACUGGACAGAUACUGACGCUAAAGCGCGAAAGCNUGGGGAGCAAACAGGAUUAGAUACCCUG